UGCCGGACCUGACUGCUAUCGGAGGGAGAUUAAGCCAUGCGAGUCGAACGUUUUCUGAUUGUGGAAAGCGUGGCGUACGGCUCAGUAACACGUAGUUAAUCUGCCCUGAGGACAUGGAUAACCCCGGGAAACUGGGACUAAUACAUGGUAAAUUAUUACAUCUGGAAUGAGUUUUAAUUUAAAGGAUUGGGUAAGCAUGUUUAUCCUUUCGCCUCAGGAUGAGGCUGCGGCCGAUCAGGUUGUUGGUGGGGUAAUGGCCCACCAAGCCUAUAACCGGUACGGGCUUUGGGAGAAGUAGCCCGGAGAUGGACACUGAGAAAAGGGUCUAGGUCCUAUGGGGCGCAGCAGGCGCGAAAACUUCGCAAUGUGCGAAAGCAUGACGAGGUUACUCCGAGUGUCAUCCGCUGAGGGUGACUUUUACUAGGCAUAAAUUACCUAGAGAAUAAGGGGAGGGCAAGUCUGGUGUCAGCCGCCGCGGUAAUACCAGCUCCCCGAGUGGUUGGGACGUUUAUUGGGCCUAAAGCAUCCGUAGCCGGUCUUGUAGGUCUUCUGUUAAAUUCAAUAGCUCAACUAUUGAGCCGCAGGAGAUACCGCAGGACUAGGAGGCGGGGGAGGUGGACGGUACUCAAUGGGUAGGGGUAAAAUCCUUUGAUCCAUUGAAGACCACCAGUGGCGAAGGCGGUCCACCACAACGCGCUCGACGGUGAGGGAUGAAAGCUGGGGGAGCGAACCGGAUUAGAUACCCGGG
This 748-nucleotide ribosomal RNA is filed under the name uncultured archaeon. Its description in RNAcentral is "bacterial SSU rRNA". It matches the Rfam family "Archaeal small subunit ribosomal RNA", at positions 15 to 741 of the family's 1478-position model. The record is from RNAcentral.